Oncorhynchus tshawytscha (Chinook salmon) is the source of this 1603-nucleotide long non-coding RNA. RefSeq lists it as uncharacterized. Lineage: Eukaryota; Metazoa; Chordata; Actinopteri; Salmoniformes; Salmonidae. The record is from RefSeq and is a predicted model, not a curated record. The transcript is spliced from 4 exons.
ACUAGAAGCACAAGCAUUUCACUACACUCGCAUUAACAUCUGCUAAAAAUGUGUAUGUGACCAAUAAAAUUUGAUUUUGAUUUGAAUGAUCUGUUGAAGUAAAGUUUUUUACCAGUUUCAUUACUCCAUGGUUGAUUUCUUUCCACCUAUCAGUUUUAAGUCUUCAGCAUUAUUUUUGUCAUACAUUUUCUUGGAGAUCAAAACAGAGAUACAAUUACUGUAGUUUGUGACACUGACACACCUAUGUAGACUCUCUAUUACUGUAAUGGCAUAUUAUUUGUAAUCAGAAGCUUGUGUAGCUAAUUUUAUUUACAAUGACGGCCUACCCCAGCAAACCCGGACCAAUUGUGCACCACCCUAUGGGACUCCCAAUCACAGCCGGAUGUGAUUCAGUCUGGAUUUGAAUCAGGGACUGUAGUGACGCCUCUUGCACUGAGAUGCAGUGCCUAAAACCACUGCACCAUUCAUGCCCUAAUGGUUUGAUACCUUAAAAACUCAAAUUAAAGCCAUGUUUUUGUCUUCAUUUCUUAUUCAGACUGAUGGGUUACAACCUGACAGAAAAAUGCUGUGAAGCACUGGCCUCUUCUCUCAGCUCCUCUCAACUGAGAACGCUGAACCUGAAUGAUCAUGAUCUGCAGGAUUCAGGAGUGAAGCUGCUCUCUGCUGGACUGAGGAGUCCACGCUGUAAACUGGAAGUUCUUACAUGUGUACAAUUGGAGUGUAAAGAAUUAGUUUGUUAUUAUAUGGAAUCACAGAGGAAGGCUGUGCUUCCUUGACCUCGGCUCCGAGGUCAAACCCCUCACACCUGAGAGAGCUAAAUCUGGACUACAGUCACAUAGGAGACUCAGGAGUGAAGAUUCUCUCUGCUGCACUGGAGCAUCCAGACUGUAAUGUAAAACUCAGUCUGAACAAUAAUGCAGAGCACUGGUUAAAGUCUGGCCUGAAGAAAUGUAGAUGCCUAUGAGCUGACACUGGACCCAAACACAGCCCACAGACGCCUCUCCGUCUGAGGGGAACAUAACGGAGACGGGAGACAGAGGAGAAACCGUAUCCUGAUCACCCAGACAGAUUUCAAUGCUGGUCACAGGUUUUGUCUAGACAGAGGAGCAACCAUAUCCAGAUUAGAGUUGCUGUUAUCCAAUACAUGUAUGAUAUAGGCUACUGCACAGUACGCACGACAGACAAACAUAAAAGCCCAUAGAUGUAGCUAGCUAUAUGCACUCUUAGGUAAAUAAAUGAAACUCGUGUGAACUGUAUUACUGUACUGUAUUAUACUGUAUUAUAUGGGCUGGAAUUACGCACAUUGUUCAAACCACGAUAAAGCAGAAGAGAACAUGCGAUUCGUGAGCAGCACGAAAGUUACAAGUAUAGGCUAAAGAAUUUGAUUUCAAUUUUGAAAUAUAAUAGGGCCUAUUUGUAUACUUAGUAGGCUGAAGCACAUAUACCUUUCAUAAUAUUCCCCUAAUGUUAUUAGCCUAAUAACUCUUUCUCUAUUGUUGCUUCAUUCCGUCCUCGCUUUUGUUGGAUCCUGUGUUUUACAUUAUAGCCAUUAGUGUAUAUAUAUGAUUAAAUAUCAUCUGAUGUUGGUUGUGUGAGGUGUCUG